Molecule: transfer RNA, 72 nt
Filed under: Bos taurus (domestic cattle)
Lineage: Eukaryota; Metazoa; Chordata; Mammalia; Artiodactyla; Bovidae
Also listed under: 3 other names
Rfam family: tRNA
About the family: Transfer RNA (tRNA) molecules are approximately 80 nucleotides in length. Their secondary structure includes four short double-helical elements and three loops (D, anti-codon, and T loops).
Source: Rfam by way of RNAcentral
UCCCUGUUGGCUCAGAUGGUAAAGCAUCUACCUACAAUGUGGGAGACACAGGUUCGAUCCCUGGAUCGGGAA